RNAcentral lists this long non-coding RNA (246 nucleotides) under Lathyrus oleraceus (garden pea). Its description in RNAcentral is "Pisum sativum (pea) long non-coding RNA (PSAT_LNC011527)". The record is from RNAcentral. Lineage: Eukaryota; Viridiplantae; Streptophyta; Magnoliopsida; Fabales; Fabaceae.
GGCAUUCAUGUUGUUUCUUUUCUUUAUGCAUGAAUUAUAUUAUGGGGUGUCGUCCAUUUCUCUAUUUUUUUUCAUUUCUGUUCUCUUUUUUUCCCGGUAGAAGUGGGUGUUUCUACAUAGUUUUUCUUUUCUUUUUCUUGCAUUUGCCCUUUUUCCAACAUUUCUUCUAAGGAUUACCACCCCAAACUUAUCUUUUUGCACAAAUUUUACACUACAACAGUCAUGCCGAGCGAGGGUAAGAAGUGU